GGUUCCAUAGUGUAGCGGUUAGCACGUCUGCUUUACACACAGAAGGUCCUGGGUUCGCGGCCCAGUGGAGCCA
Molecule: non-coding RNA, 73 nt
Organism: Pteropus alecto (black flying fox)
Lineage: Eukaryota; Metazoa; Chordata; Mammalia; Chiroptera; Pteropodidae
Source: Rfam